Molecule: transfer RNA, 69 nt
Filed under: Acanthaster planci (crown-of-thorns starfish)
Lineage: Eukaryota; Metazoa; Echinodermata; Asteroidea; Valvatida; Acanthasteridae
Description: tRNA-Glu
Rfam family: tRNA
About the family: Transfer RNA (tRNA) molecules are approximately 80 nucleotides in length. Their secondary structure includes four short double-helical elements and three loops (D, anti-codon, and T loops).
Source: Rfam by way of RNAcentral
AUUCUUAUAGUUGAACCACAACAGCAGCUUUUCACGCUACAAGCUUGGGUUAGACCCCCAAUGAGAAUU